GUACUGAUGAAGAGUCCCGAAACUAGGACGAAAUAGCUGUCCAGUAC
Molecule: non-coding RNA, 47 nt
Filed under: Trichobilharzia regenti
Lineage: Eukaryota; Metazoa; Platyhelminthes; Trematoda; Strigeidida; Schistosomatidae
Source: RNAcentral